CUCAGGAUUGGUGGAUUCUUGGCACAAUUUUAACCCCUGCGAAAUAAAUGUUGAAAAUCAAAAGCUGGUUCCUUCCUAUUUUGUGUGCAUCAUGCACCUUGUCGCGGGGCAUCUAUAUGCCUGUGCAAACAUACAUCUGGGAAGAAGCACUGGGAAUGCUGGAGAAAAGCAGGUCUGGUAGCAUCUGUGGAGGGAGAAAGAGAAGCUAAACUUUCUCGUGCAAUACGACUGCCAGAAACAGAAUCAACAUUUCAUAUUUCAACGUUAACUGUUUCUUCCUGCACAGAUGCUGCUCGACUUGAUCUGUAGCAUUCUCCUUUACAGAUUUACUACCAGCACCAAUCUGUAGGAAAGAAUUUUAAAUCAAGCUUCAUGUGAAUCAUCUUUUCUAAAAAUCAAAACAAAAUGCAGGAAAUACAUUAAAAGAUAACUCACCAGAACUGGAUACAGUACUCCAGAAGAGGCCCCUCACCAGUGUCCUAUACAACCUUAACAUGACUUCCCAACUCCUUUACUCCAAAGGACUAAGCAAAGAAGGCCAGCAUGCUAAACAUCUUUUUAACCAACCUUACUAUAUGUGACAAAUACUUCAAAGAAUUAUGUAGCUGAACCUCUGGACUCUGUUCUACAACACUACACAAGGCCUUACCAUUAAUUGUGUAAGUCCUCCCUUGUUUGUUGUACAAAAAAUGCAAUACUUUGCAUUUAUCCAGACCAAACACCAACUGCCAUUUUACAGUCAUUGACACAUUUCAUCAAGAUCCCUUUAUAAUCUUCAAAAACCAUCUUCACUGUCUGCUAUGCCACCAAUUUUGAUGUCAUCUGCAAAUUUACUAACCAUACUUUCUUUAUUCUCAUCCAAAAUCAUUAAUAUAAAUGAUAAACAAUAGAGGAACCAGAAUUUAUCCCUGUGAAACAUCACAGGUAACGGGCCUUCAGUCCCAAAAGCAACUCUUCACCAUUACUCUGUCCCCUGCCAUUAAGCCAAUUGUGUAUCCAACAGGCAAGCUCACCCCAAAUACCAUGUGACCUAACUUUAAUAAUUAGCCUACUUUGCAGAACCUUGACAAAGGCUCUACUAAAGUCCAAGUAAACACUACAUACUGCUCUGCCUUCAUCAAUUCCUUUUAGUAACUUCCUCAAAAAACUCAAUCAAAUUUGCAAGACAAUUUUCCUCACACAAACAUGCUGACUAUCCCUAAUCAAUUUUUGCCUUGCUAAACAUCCAUAAACCCUAUCUUUCAAAAUCACCUCCAACAAUUGUAUCCACAACCAAAGUCAGACUCACAGGUCUACAGUUUCCUGGUUUCUCUUGACAACCUUUCUUAAAGAAAGGUACAACUUUAGCCACCUUUCCAGUCAUCAGGCACAUCAUUCCCCCACCACCUAUGCACCUCCAUUGUUCAUAGAUGAUGCAACUAUUUCUACAAGGAGUGACCAAGUCAGGGUGGCACAAGUGGAAUGAACUUCCAGAGGAAGUAGUGGAUGCUGGUACAAAUUCAACAUUUAAAAGACAUUUGGUUAAUUGCAUG
Molecule: long non-coding RNA, 1532 nt
Organism: Stegostoma tigrinum
Lineage: Eukaryota; Metazoa; Chordata; Chondrichthyes; Orectolobiformes; Stegostomatidae
Exons: 3
Source: RefSeq, a predicted model, not a curated record